UACGCGAGCUGGGUUUAGAACGUCGUGAGACAGUUCGGUCCCUAUCUGCCGUGGGCGCUGGAGAACUGAGGGGGGCUGCUCCUAGUACGAGAGGACCGGAGUGGACGCAUCACUGGUGUUCGGGUUGUCAUGCCAAUGGCACUGCCCGGUAGCUAAAUGCGGAAGAGAUAAGUGCUGAAAGCAUCUAAGCACGAAACUUGCCCCGAGAUGAGUUCUCCCUGAGACUUAAAGUCUCCUGAAGGAACGUUGAAGACGACGACGUUGAUAGGCCGGGUGUGUAAGCGCAGCGAUGCGUUGAGCUAACCGGUACUAAUGAACCGUGAGGCUUAACCUUAC
This 336-nucleotide ribosomal RNA is filed under the name Salmonella enterica subsp. enterica serovar Heidelberg str. RI-11-013988. Its description in RNAcentral is "bacterial LSU rRNA". It matches the Rfam family "Bacterial large subunit ribosomal RNA", at positions 2597 to 2925 of the family's 2925-position model. Lineage: Bacteria; Pseudomonadati; Pseudomonadota; Gammaproteobacteria; Enterobacterales; Enterobacteriaceae. The record is from RNAcentral.